RNAcentral lists this ribosomal RNA (491 nucleotides) under uncultured bacterium. RNAcentral's name for it is "bacterial SSU rRNA". It matches the Rfam family "Bacterial small subunit ribosomal RNA", at positions 791 to 1272 of the family's 1533-position model. The record is from RNAcentral.
UAGUCCACGCCGUAAACGAUGAGUGCUAAGUGUUAGAGGGUUUCCGCCCUUUAGUGCUGCAGCAAACGCAUUAAGCACUCCGCCUGGGGAGUACGGCCGCAAGGCUGAAACUCAAAGGAAUUGACGGGGGGCUCACACAAGCGGUGGAGCAUGUGGCUUAAUUCGAGGCAACGCGAAGAACCUUAUCCUGGAUUUGACAUGCUUGGAUGGCUCGCCUGAAAGGGAUGAGUCUGCCUUCGGGUGAAACUUGCACAGGUGCUGCAUGGCUGUCGUCAGCUCGUGUCGUGAGAUGUAGGGUUAAGUCCUUAAACGAGCGCAACCCUUGUCCUUAGUUGCCAGCGGGUCAUGCCGGGGACUCUAGGGAGACUGCCGGUGUUAAACCGGGAGGAGGUGGGGACGACGGUCAAGUCAUCAUGGCCUUUAUGUCCAGGGGCUGCACACGUGCUACAAUGGGGCGUACAAGGGAAGCGAACUCGCGAGAGCAAGCAAAU